AUACGUAGGGGGCGAGCGUUAAUCGGAAUUACUGGGCGUAAAGCGCGCGUAGGUGGUUCAGUCAGUCAGAUGUGAAAGCCCCGGGCUCAACCUGGGAACUGCACCUGAUACUGCUGAGCUAGAGUACGGUAGAGGGCAGUGGAAUUUCCGGUGUAGCGGUGAAAUGCGUAGAGAUCGGAAGGAACACCAGUGGCGAAGGCGACUGCCUGGACUGAUACGGACACUGAGGUGAGAAAGCGUGGGUAGCAAACAGGAUUAGAUACCCUGGUAGUCCACGCCGUAAACGAUGUCAACUAGCCGUUGGGGGACUUGAUCCUUUAGUGGCGAAGCUAACGCGAUAAGUUGACCGCCUGGGGAGUACGGCCGCAAGGUUAAAACUCAAAUGAAUUGACGGGG
This 396-nucleotide ribosomal RNA is filed under the name uncultured bacterium. RNAcentral's name for it is "partial 16S ribosomal RNA". It matches the Rfam family "Bacterial small subunit ribosomal RNA", at positions 523 to 918 of the family's 1533-position model. The record is from RNAcentral.